AUUGAACGCUGGCGGCAUGCCUUACACAUGCAAGUCGAACGGUAACAGCACUUCGGUGGCUGACGAGUGGCGAACGGGUGAGUAAUACAUCGGAACGUGCCCGAGAGUGGGGGAUAACGCAGCGAAAGCUGUGCUAAUACCGCAUACGAUCUACGGAUGAAAGCAGGGGACCGCAAGGCCUUGCGCUCAUGGAGCGGCCGAUGGCAGAUUAGGUAGUUGGUGGGAUAAAAGCUUACCAAGCCGACGAUCUGUAGCUGGUCUGAGAGGACGACCAGCCACACUGGGACUGAGACACGGCCCAGACUCCUACGGGAGGCAGCAGUGGGGAAUUUUGGACAAUGGGGGAAACCCUGAUCCAGCCAUGCCGCGUGCAGGAUGAAGGCCUUCGGUUGUAAACUGCUUUGUACGGAACGAAAGGUACUUUCUAAUAAAGAAGACUCAUGACGGUACCGUAAGAAUAAGACACCGGCUAACUACGUGCCAGCAGCCGCGGUAAAC
This 498-nucleotide ribosomal RNA is filed under the name uncultured bacterium. RNAcentral describes it as "bacterial SSU rRNA". It matches the Rfam family "Bacterial small subunit ribosomal RNA", at positions 30 to 525 of the family's 1533-position model. The record is from RNAcentral.